This is a transfer RNA of Camelus ferus (Wild Bactrian camel), 72 nucleotides long. It matches the Rfam family "tRNA". Rfam says of the family: Transfer RNA (tRNA) molecules are approximately 80 nucleotides in length. Their secondary structure includes four short double-helical elements and three loops (D, anti-codon, and T loops). NCBI's taxonomy places the organism in Eukaryota, Metazoa, Chordata, Mammalia, Artiodactyla, Camelidae. The record is from Rfam.
GUGGGUAUAGCUCAGUGGUAGAGCGCAUGCUUAGCAUGCACAAGGUCCUGGGUUCAAUCCCCAGUGCCUCCA